CAUAGCCCGAGUUGAGAGACUGAUCGGCACAUUGGGGACUGAGACACGGGCCCAAACUCCUACGGGAGGCAGCAGUAGGGAAUCUUCCACAAUGGACGCAAGUCUGAUGGAGCAAACGCCGCGUGAGUGAAGAAGGGUUUCGGCUCGUAAAAAGCUCUGUUGUUGGUGAAGAAGGACAGGGGUAGUAACUGACCCUUUGUUUGACGGUAAUCAAUUAGAAAGUCACGGGCUAACUACGUGCCAGCAGCCGCGGUAAAAU
Molecule: ribosomal RNA, 259 nt
Filed under: uncultured Bacilli bacterium
Lineage: Bacteria; Bacillati; Bacillota; Bacilli
Description: partial 16S ribosomal RNA
Rfam family: Bacterial small subunit ribosomal RNA
Source: RNAcentral